This 684-nucleotide long non-coding RNA is filed under the name Homo sapiens (human). Its description in RNAcentral is "HSALNT0148587". Lineage: Eukaryota; Metazoa; Chordata; Mammalia; Primates; Hominidae. The record is from RNAcentral.
UCUCGAUCUCCUGACCUCGUGAUCCGCCCGCCUCUGCCUCCCAAAGUGCUGGGAUUACAGGUGUAAGCCAUCACACCUGGCCCUAGUGACAGGUUUUUAUGGGUACUUUUAGAUGAUCUAAGAAAUCAUGUGCAUAUAUCUUUCAGAUUUCUAUUUUGGGAAAAUGAAGGUUUCUACAACAUAUUGUUUCAGUGUUCAAAUAAACUGAAGGACUCAACAUUACAUUUGAACUAUAUCCUUCCUAGUGGGUUAGUGUGAAAAAGAGUUUGGCUGAUUCCUAAAACUCUGCCAGCCCUGCAGUAAUCUCCAGGGCCUGGUUAUUGUUCAGACAUUCCAUGGUGAUUCCUGGGAAGGAAGCUUGGCUGCUCAGUUUCUGAGUCUGGGGUGAGAUAAUGUUCUGGGAAGGGACAUCUGUUCUUUGGUGUAAUCUCUCAUGGUGAAAUCUGCUCUGUACAUCAGACAAUUGCAUUGCUACCAAGUUUCAUACCAAAUAUUUGAAAGGAUGGUAUUGAAUCUAAAACCAAAUAUUAGUUUUUAUUAAACUCAUGGGAAGGCUAAUAUAUUCCAACGUAAAUUAUUACAUAUGGUUAAGUAAUUGCAUGUUAAUUUAUUUUAAUGUAAAUAUUUUUGUUACUGUUCUGAGCCAAAUUCUAAAGAAAAAAUAAAUACAUUUCCUUGUUGAAA